UACGAGGGGGGCGAGCGUUGUUCGGAAUUAUUGGGCGUAAAGGGCGCGUAGGCGGUGCGGUAAGUCACCUGUGAAACCUCUGGGCUCAACUCAGAGCCUGCAGGCGAAACUGCCGUGCUGGAGUGUGGGAGAGGUGCGUGGAAUUCCCGGUGUAGCGGUGAAAUUCGUAGAUAUUCGCAAGAACACCAGUGGCGAAGGCGGCUCACUGGCCCGAUACUGACGCUGAGGCACGAAAGCGUGGGGAGCAAACAGG
Molecule: ribosomal RNA, 253 nt
Filed under: uncultured bacterium
Lineage: Bacteria
Description: partial 16S ribosomal RNA
Rfam family: Bacterial small subunit ribosomal RNA
Source: RNAcentral